Molecule: ribosomal RNA, 274 nt
Filed under: uncultured bacterium
Lineage: Bacteria
Description: partial 16S ribosomal RNA
Rfam family: Bacterial small subunit ribosomal RNA
Source: RNAcentral
AUACGGAGGGUGCAAGCGUUAUUCGGAAUCACUGGGCGUAAAGGGUGCGUAGGCGGUUUGGUAAGUCUGAUGUGAAAUCCUAUGGCUCAACCAUAGAACUGCAUUGGAAACUGCUAGACUAGAAUACUGAAGGGGCAGAUGGAAUUAGUGGUGUAGGGGUAAAAUCCGUAGAUAUCACUAGGAAUACCGAAAGCGAAAGCGAUCUGCUGGGAAGUUAUUGACGCUGAGGCACGAAAGCGUGGGGAGCAAACGGAAUUAGAUACCCCAGUAGUCC